Molecule: ribosomal RNA, 260 nt
Filed under: Caloplaca chlorina
Lineage: Eukaryota; Fungi; Ascomycota; Lecanoromycetes; Teloschistales; Teloschistaceae
Description: partial 18S ribosomal RNA
Source: RNAcentral
GGAAGUAAAAGUCGUAACAAGGUGCCUUUNNGAGGAAGCCUUGCACGCCGAGUCUGCCUUCGGGCAGGCGACAUUCGCCUGGAGCUGGAAGCUUCGCCCCGGGUCCACGGGGGGAACGAUCAGCUGCUGUAUGCCCAANCCGUGCAGUUCACAGAUCAAACGCGAGUGGCCNGCGCCCGCAGGUUAAGAUAUGACCGUAGCANACUCUGCGAAGAGUCUGACACUCUAGUUCCGUAGGUGAACCUGCGGAAGGAUCAUUA